RNAcentral lists this ribosomal RNA (497 nucleotides) under uncultured bacterium. Its description in RNAcentral is "partial 16S ribosomal RNA". It matches the Rfam family "Bacterial small subunit ribosomal RNA", at positions 28 to 507 of the family's 1533-position model. The record is from RNAcentral.
GACGAACGCUGGCGGCGUGCCUAAUACAUGCAAGUUGAGCGAUGAAGAUUGGUGCUUGCACCAAUUUGAAGAGCAGCGAACGGGUGAGUAACGCGUGGGGAAUCUGCCUUUGAGCGGGGGACAACAUUUGGAAACGAAUGCUAAUACCGCAUAACAACUUUAAACAUAAGUUUUAAGUUUGAAAGAUGCAAUUGCAUCACUCAAAGAUGAUCCCGCGUUGUAUUAGCUAGUUGGUGAGGUAAAGGCUCACCAAGGCGAUGAUACAUAGCCGACCUGAGAGGGUGAUCGGCCACAUUGGGACUGAGACACGGCCCAAACUCCUACGGGAGGCAGCAGUAGGGAAUCUUCGGCAAUGGACGAAAGUCUGACCGAGCAACGCCGCGUGAGUGAAGAAGGUUUUCGGAUCGUAAAACUCUGUUGGUAGAGAAGAAUGUUGGUGAGAGUGGAAAGCUCAUCAAGUGACGGUAACUACCCAGAAAGGGGCGGCUAACUACGUG